AGCAGCCGCGGUAAUUCCAGCUCCAAUAGCGUAUAUUAAAGUUGUUGCAGUUAAAAAGCUCGUAGUUGAAUUUCGGGAUCAAAUUGUUGGUCGUGCUUCGGUACGCACUGGCAUUAUUGGUUCCUACCUUCUGAAGAACCGCGAUGUCAUUAAUUUGGUGUCGUGGGGAAUCAGGACUGUUACUUUGAAAAAAUUAGAGUGUUUAAAGCAGGCGCACGCUUGAAUACAUUAGCAUGGAAUAAUGAAAUAGGACGUUUGAUUCUAUUUUGUUGGUUUCUAGGAUCGACGUAAUGAUUAAUAGGGAUAGUUGGGGGCAUUAGUAUUCAAUUGUCAGACGUGAAAUUCUUGGAUUUAUUGAAGACUAACUACUGCGAAAGCAUUUGCCAAGGAUGUUUUCAUUAAUCAAGAACGAAAGUUAGGGGAUCGAAGACGAUCAGAUACCGUCGUAGUCUUAACCAUAAACUAUGCCGACUAGGGAUCGGAUGAUGUUAAUUUUUUAAUGACUCA
RNAcentral lists this ribosomal RNA (507 nucleotides) under Glomus sp. Glo4. Its description in RNAcentral is "SSU rRNA". It matches the Rfam family "Eukaryotic small subunit ribosomal RNA", at positions 569 to 1078 of the family's 1831-position model. The record is from RNAcentral. Lineage: Eukaryota; Fungi; Glomeromycota; Glomeromycetes; Glomerales; Glomeraceae.